RNAcentral lists this ribosomal RNA (1993 nucleotides) under Amphiplexia hymenocladioides. Its description in RNAcentral is "partial 28S ribosomal RNA". It matches the Rfam family "Eukaryotic large subunit ribosomal RNA", at positions 50 to 2190 of the family's 3401-position model. Lineage: Eukaryota; Rhodophyta; Florideophyceae; Gigartinales; Acrotylaceae. The record is from RNAcentral.
GCGGAGGAAAAGAAACUAACUAGGAUUCCCCCAGUAGCGGCGAGCGAAGCGGGAAAAGCCCAAAAUGAAAAGCCUGCUUGCAGGCGUUGUACUUUGAGCGUUCUUGGGGUGUCAGUGUGGGCAAGUUGCAUGAAAAUGCACGCCGUGGAGGGUGAUAGCCCCGUCCAACCUACACAGGACACGCCGUACCGGAACGUCUCUGACGAGUCGGGUAGCUUGGGAAUGCUGCUCUAAUUGGUGGUAAAUCUCAUCAAAGGCUAAAUACUGGCUGGAGACCGAUAGCGAACAAGUACCGUGAGGGAAAGAUGAAAAGCACUUUGAAAAGAGGGUGAAAAGAACCUGAAACCGUCACGGGGGAAGCGGAUUGCGUUGGCCUGGUGGGCGCUUGUGUGUUCAGCCUUUGGGUGUAUUGGCACAAGUGCUUAUCCGUCGUGGGUUUUCGGGGGUUGAUGUUGAAUCCCUGGAGGCUGAGGGCUCCCUUCGGGUGAGGACGACGGAGUGACGACGCGAUACGACCCGUCUUGAAACACGGACCAAGGAGUCUAGCGCGGUUGCGAGUCAGAGGGUGCAAGCCCGUGGGCGAAGUGAAAGCAAAGUUUGAAAACUAGCAGUUUGAGGCGGCAUAAGAUCGUUGAUCUUAAGACUGACCUAGAGCAGUUGCGCUGGGACCCGAAAGAUGGUGAACUAUGCCGGAGUAGGGCAAAGCCAGAGGAAACUCUGGUGGAGGCUCGUAGCGGUGCUGACGUGCAAAUCGCUCGUCCAACUUGGGUAUAGGGGCGAAAGACUAAUCGAACCAUCUAGUAGCUGGUUCCCUCCGAAGUUUCUCUCAGGAUAGCGGGCCGACAAGUUGUUUUGUGCGGUAAAGCGAAUGAUUAGCGUAUUUGGGGACAUUUAGUCUUCGGGCGAUUCUCAAACUUUAAAUGCGCAAGGGUGUCGCUGCUUUGGUGAGCGGCACCGGUAAAAACGUCGGCCCUGUGGGCCACUUUUGGUAAGCAGAACUGGCGAUACGGGAUGAACCGUAAGCAUGGUUAAGGCGCCAGACUGCCCGCUUAUAGAUCCCAAAAAAGGUGUUGAUUCAUCGAGACAGCAGGACGGUGGCCAUGGAAGUCGGAAUCCGCCAAGGAGUGUGUAACAACUCACCUGCCGAAUGAAUUAGCCCUGAAAAUGGAUGGCGCUGAAGCGGGCGGCCGACACCAUGCCGUCUGGAAAAGACUUUCAGAUGAGUAGGAGGGCGUGGGGGUCGUGUCGAAGCAUGCGUGCAGACGCGUGUGGAACGGCCUCUAGUGCAGAUCUUGGUGGUAGUAGCAAGUAUUCAAGCGAGAUCCUUGAAGGGCGAAGCGGGGAAGGGUUCCACGCGAACAUUGAUUGGGCGUGGGUGAGUCGUUCCUAAGCCGAGUGGCGAUUGCUAAGUAGCGGCGAAAGGGAAGCGGGUUGACAUUCCCGCACACGGAUGUGGAGGCGGUGACGCAUUAUUGGGGCGAACACGCUGGCGACGGCGCUGGGCAGAGUUGUCUUUUCUGUUUGACCGUGUUGUGCGCGCGGUGUGGAAUCCGCUUGUCGGGAGAAACACGCGUGUACGGGCAGAGCGCCGGGGCUUUUCCGGCGUCCAGCUCGCCGUCGACGGCCCUUGAAACUUUGCCUGCUGAUAUAGAUCCACGCCGUGGCGUACCGAUCACCGCAUCAGGUCCCCGAGGUGAACAGCCUCUGCUCGAUAUGAAAAAUGCAGGUAAGGGAAGUCGGCAAAUUAGACCCGUAACUUUGGGAAAAGGGUUGGCUCUAGUGCUGCGUGGGAGUGGUUGUCGGAUGUUGGCGUUUCUGGCCUGGCGGCUUGGCGCGGGCGCCUCACGGUGCUUGCUCCGGGCUGCUGUGCUGGUUGCUCCACGGCCGACGACGCCCACAGCAUGCAGCAGACUAGAACUGCAACGGGCAAAGGGAAUCCGACUGUUUAAUUAAAACAAAGCAUUGCGAGGGCCGAGGCCGGUGAUGACGCAAU